Molecule: small nucleolar RNA, 213 nt
Filed under: Apaloderma vittatum (bar-tailed trogon)
Lineage: Eukaryota; Metazoa; Chordata; Aves; Trogoniformes; Trogonidae
Description: Small nucleolar RNA U3
Rfam family: Small nucleolar RNA U3
About the family: Small nucleolar RNAs (snoRNAs) are involved in the processing and modification of rRNA in the nucleolus. There are two main classes of snoRNAs: the box C/D class, and the box H/ACA class.
Source: Rfam by way of RNAcentral
AAGUGUACACUUUUCAUGGGUCAUUUCUGUAGUUGAUCACUAGAGGAGAGUGAUCGCUCCUGAUCAGCGUCACAAGCCACGAGAAGGAGCGAGGUGUUCUCUCCUGAGCGGGAAGCGGGUGGGUGGUGCUGCUUGGGCAGGGUCUGCCCACCGUUGAUGACCAUUCCCACCAUGUUGGUGGGGCUGGGAGGGAGAGAUCACAGGCUGAGUGGU